UACAGAGGUCUCAAGCGUUGUUCGGAUUCAUUGGGCGUAAAGGGUGCGUAGGCGGCGCGGUAAGUCGGGUGUGAAAUUUCGAGGCUUAACUUCGAAACUGCAUUCGAUACUGCGGUGCUUGAGGACUGGAGAGGAGACUGGAAUUCAUGGUGUAGCAGUGAAAUGCGUAGAGAUCGUAAGGAAGACCAGUGGCGAAGGCGGGUCUCUGGACAGUUCCUGACACUGAGGCACGAAGGCCAGGGGAGCAAACGGG
This 253-nucleotide ribosomal RNA is filed under the name uncultured bacterium. RNAcentral describes it as "partial 16S ribosomal RNA". It matches the Rfam family "Bacterial small subunit ribosomal RNA", at positions 524 to 776 of the family's 1533-position model. The record is from RNAcentral.